This 481-nucleotide ribosomal RNA is filed under the name uncultured Burkholderia sp. RNAcentral's name for it is "bacterial SSU rRNA". It matches the Rfam family "Bacterial small subunit ribosomal RNA", at positions 415 to 889 of the family's 1533-position model. Lineage: Bacteria; Pseudomonadati; Pseudomonadota; Betaproteobacteria; Burkholderiales; Burkholderiaceae. The record is from RNAcentral.
CCUUCGGGUUGUAAAGCACUUUUGUCCGGAAAGAAAUCCUUGGCUCUAAUACNGUCGGGGGAUGACGGUACCGGAAGAAUAAGCACCGGCUAACUACGUGCCAGCAGCCGCGGUAAUACGUAGGGUGCAAGCGUUAAUCGGAAUUACUGGGCGUAAAGCGUGCGCAGGCGGUUUGCUAAGACCGAUGUGAAAUCCCCGGGCUCAACCUGGGAACUGCAUUGGUGACUGGCAGGCUAGAGUAUGGCAGAGGGGGGUAGAAUUCCACGUGUAGCAGUGAAAUGCGUAGAGAUGUGGAGGAAUACCGAUGGCGAAGGCAGCCCCCUGGGNCAAUACUGACGCUCAUGCACGAAAGCGUGGGGAGCAAACAGGAUUAGAUACCCUGGUAGUCCACGCCCUAAACGAUGUCAACUAGUUGUUGGGGAUUCAUUUCCUUAGUAACGUAGCUAACGCGUGAAGUUGACCGCCUGGGGAGUACGGUCGC